This 497-nucleotide ribosomal RNA is filed under the name uncultured bacterium. RNAcentral's name for it is "partial 16S ribosomal RNA". It matches the Rfam family "Bacterial small subunit ribosomal RNA", at positions 28 to 507 of the family's 1533-position model. The record is from RNAcentral.
GAUGAACGCUGGCGGCGUGCCUAAUACAUGCAAGGCGAGCGAACAGAAGAGGAGCUUGCUCAGAGGAAGGGAGCGGCGGACGGGUGAGUAAAACGUGGAGAACCUAUAGAGAAGAAUGGGAUAAAUUAGGGAAAAUGGAGUUAAUACAGGAGAAUAUAUUGAAAUGUAUGGUUCAAUAGUGAAAGACGGUUUUGCUGUCACUUAUAGAUGGAUCCGCGCCGCAUUAGCUAGUUGGUAAGGUAACGGCUUACCAAGGCGACGAUGCGUAGCCGACCUGAGAAAAUAAUCGGCCACACUGAAACUGAGACACGAUCCAGACUCCUACGGGAGGCAGCAGUAGGGAAUCUUCCGCAAUGGGCGAAAGCCUGACGGAGCAACGCCGCGUGAGUGAUGAAGGUCUUCGGAUCUUAAAACUCUGUUCUUCGAUACGAACAAAUGUGUAAGUAACUAUGCACGUCUUGACUGUACCUAAUCAGAAAGCCACGGCUAACUACGUG